Molecule: ribosomal RNA, 429 nt
Filed under: Acidobacteriota bacterium
Lineage: Bacteria; Pseudomonadati; Acidobacteriota
Description: Acidobacteria bacterium partial 16S ribosomal RNA
Rfam family: Bacterial small subunit ribosomal RNA
Source: RNAcentral
UGGGGAAUUUUGGACAAUGGGGGAAACCCUGAUCCAGCCAUCCCGCGUGUGCGAUGAAGGCCUUCGGGUUGUAAAGCACUUUUGGCAGGAAAGAAACGUCAUGGGUUAAUACCCCGUGAAACUCACGGUACCUGCAGAAUAAGCACCGGCUAACUACGUGCCAGCAGCCGCGGUAAUACGUAGGGUGCAAGCGUUAAUCGGAAUUACUGGGCGUAAAGCGUGCGCAGGCGGUUCGGAAAGAAAGAUGUGAAAUCCGAGAGCUCAACUUUGGAACUGCAUUUUUAACUACCGGGCUAGAGUGUGUCAGAGGGAGGAGGAAUUCCGCGUGUAGCAGUGAAAUGCGUAGAUAUGCGGAGGAACACCGAUGGCGAAGGCAGCCUCCUGGGAUAACACUGACGCUCAUGCACGAAAGCGUGGGGAGCAAACAGG